This is a long non-coding RNA of Sinocyclocheilus anshuiensis, 409 nucleotides long. RefSeq lists it as uncharacterized. Lineage: Eukaryota; Metazoa; Chordata; Actinopteri; Cypriniformes; Cyprinidae. The record is from RefSeq and is a predicted model, not a curated record. The transcript is spliced from 3 exons.
CCACUGCGAUAGAUCCUUUAUGUCAUGUAUUUAAUCCUGCGUUGAGGACACUUUAUAAAACCUACAGAGGAUGGGACCCUACCUGUCCAACGAACGGCCUUCACAACGCGAGCAUGCGACGCAGCAACUUGGAAAUUCAAACAGUAACGGUCAUUUGACAGACGAACGGGUGCUAAGCCAACGGGCAGUUCGUGAAGACAGAAACAUAAGAGAUGUUGUGACAAUCUGCACAGUUCCAGUUCCACCUGCCACACCAGACUCUCUACUGUGUAUGGAUGCCUUUUUGGAGCCAGGGACCUCUUGCAGGGGAGAAGACUUUCCAAGGACCCCCUCAUAUCAUAAUUACAACAGUGUUUAAGGCUCACGUUAAUUUCAGCUCCAACAGGUGAACAUAAUGUAUGGACCCAAC